UGUAAGUGCACUUGUGUGUUUCUGUGUCCAACGUUUGAUCAUACGUUUUAUUCAAAAAAGAUUAUAAUCAUUAUUUGUUUUGUUAUUAGAUGAUAAAUGUUUUACGCGUGACUUAUGCUUUAAACCUUUUUAUAAAUUCUUUAAAUAAGACGGAUGCUCAAACAUUAGAUAUAAAAAUCCACAACUGUAUUUAAA
Non-coding RNA from Oryza meridionalis, 195 nucleotides. The record is from Rfam. NCBI's taxonomy places the organism in Eukaryota, Viridiplantae, Streptophyta, Magnoliopsida, Poales, Poaceae.